GACGAACGCUGGCGGCGUGCUUAACACAUGCAAGUCGAACGAAGUGGCGCACGGGUGAGUAACGCGUAAUCAAUCUGCCCUUCAGUGGGGGACAACAGUUGGAAACGACUGCUAAUACCGCAUACUGAAGGAGGGGAUUGCGUCUGAUUAGCUAGUUGGAGGGGUAACGGCCCACCAAGGCGAUGAUCAGUAGCCGGGCUGAGAGGGUGACAGGGCGAAUUGGGCCUGAGUCACGGCCCAGACUCCUACGGGAGGCAGCAGUGGGGAGUCUUCCGCAAUGGAGGAAAGUCUGACGGAGCAACGCGGCGUGAGUGAUGACGGCCUUCGGGGUGUAAAGCUCUGUUAAUCGGGACGCGGUACCGGAAUAGAAAGCCACGGCUAACUACGUGCCAGCAGCCGCGGUAAUUC
This 408-nucleotide ribosomal RNA is filed under the name uncultured bacterium. RNAcentral's name for it is "partial 16S ribosomal RNA". It matches the Rfam family "Bacterial small subunit ribosomal RNA", at positions 28 to 526 of the family's 1533-position model. The record is from RNAcentral.